CCUUCCUUUUCCUCCUCUGUUUUCUUGUUCCUGCUGCGCUCUCGAUCCCGCCUGACCUAUCCGACCGUCCAAAAACCUUCAUCGUCCACGUGUCCAAAUCAGACAAGCCCGCCCUCUUCUCCUCUCACCGGAGCUGGUACACCUCCAUCAUCCAAUCCCUCCCGUCCCCCCACCCCACCAAACUCCUCUACACAUACGACCGCGCCGUCCACGGCUUCUCCGCCGCCCUCACAUCCUCUCAGGCCACCCAGCUCCUCUCCCACCCCGCCGUCCUCUCCGUCACGCCCGACCAGCCACGUCAGCUCCACACCACUCACACCCCCAGCUUCCUCGGCCUCGCUGAAUCCUUCGGCUUAUGGCCCAACUCCGACUACGCCGACGACGUCAUAGUCGGCG
This 396-nucleotide long non-coding RNA is filed under the name Malus domestica (apple). RNAcentral's name for it is "long non-coding RNA (MDOM_LNC008130)". Lineage: Eukaryota; Viridiplantae; Streptophyta; Magnoliopsida; Rosales; Rosaceae. The record is from RNAcentral.